RNAcentral lists this ribosomal RNA (1264 nucleotides) under Staphylococcus saprophyticus. RNAcentral describes it as "bacterial SSU rRNA". It matches the Rfam family "Bacterial small subunit ribosomal RNA", at positions 91 to 1341 of the family's 1533-position model. The record is from RNAcentral. Lineage: Bacteria; Bacillati; Bacillota; Bacilli; Caryophanales; Staphylococcaceae.
GUUAGCGGCGGACGGGUGAGUAACACGUGGGUAACCUACCUAUAAGACUGGGAUAACUUCGGGAAACCGGAGCUAAUACCGGAUAACAUUUGGAACCGCAUGGUUCUAAAGUGAAAGAUGGUUUUGCUAUCACUUAUAGAUGGACCCGCGCCGUAUUAGCUAGUUGGUAAGGUAACGGCUUACCAAGGCGACGAUACGUAGCCGACCUGAGAGGGUGAUCGGCCACACUGGAACUGAGACACGGUCCAGACUCCUACGGGAGGCAGCAGUAGGGAAUCUUCCGCAAUGGGCGAAAGCCUGACGGAGCAACGCCGCGUGAGUGAUGAAGGGUUUCGGCUCGUAAAACUCUGUUAUUAGGGAAGAACAAACGUGUAAGUAACUGUGCACGUCUUGACGGUACCUAAUCAGAAAGCCACGGCUAACUACGUGCCAGCAGCCGCGGUAAUACGUAGGUGGCAAGCGUUAUCCGGAAUUAUUGGGCGUAAAGCGCGCGUAGGCGGUUUCUUAAGUCUGAUGUGAAAGCCCACGGCUCAACCGUGGAGGGUCAUUGGAAACUGGGAAACUUGAGUGCAGAAGAGGAAAGUGGAAUUCCAUGUGUAGCGGUGAAAUGCGCAGAGAUAUGGAGGAACACCAGUGGCGAAGGCGACUUUCUGGUCUGUAACUGACGCUGAUGUGCGAAAGCGUGGGGAUCAAACAGGAUUAGAUACCCUGGUAGUCCACGCCGUAAACGAUGAGUGCUAAGUGUUAGGGGGUUUCCGCCCCUUAGUGCUGCAGCUAACGCAUUAAGCACUCCGCCUGGGGAGUACGACCGCAAGGUUGAAACUCAAAGGAAUUGACGGGGACCCGCACAAGCGGUGGAGCAUGUGGUUUAAUUCGAAGCAACGCGAAGAACCUUACCAAAUCUUGACAUCCUUUGAAAACUCUAGAGAUAGAGCCUUCCCCUUCGGGGGACAAAGUGACAGGUGGUGCAUGGUUGUCGUCAGCUCGUGUCGUGAGAUGUUGGGUUAAGUCCCGCAACGAGCGCAACCCUUAAGCUUAGUUGCCAUCAUUAAGUUGGGCACUCUAGGUUGACUGCCGGUGACAAACCGGAGGAAGGUGGGGAUGACGUCAAAUCAUCAUGCCCCUUAUGAUUUGGGCUACACACGUGCUACAAUGGACAAUACAAAGGGCAGCUAAACCGCGAGGUCAUGCAAAUCCCAUAAAGUUGUUCUCAGUUCGGAUUGUAGUCUGCAACUCGACUACAUGAAGCUGGAAUCGCUAGUAA